Molecule: long non-coding RNA, 619 nt
Filed under: Helianthus annuus (common sunflower)
Lineage: Eukaryota; Viridiplantae; Streptophyta; Magnoliopsida; Asterales; Asteraceae
Source: RNAcentral
AUGCCCCAAAAUCUAAUAGUUGAUAAAUAAGGCAUUUACUAGAAUUAUGUGUGAAAUAACUUAACUAGGAUUAGUUAACCUAGUUUGUUUUUCUAUGUUAGUUACAAGAAGGAAAUAAAUAAAUUAUCAAAACUACAAGGGUUGAACUUGUACAUUUUAAUUAAAGUUUGGUUAAGUAGUGGAAGAUCACAAACAUCAGACAUAAGUCUGAUGUUGGUGUCGAUGCAAGCCAAGGGCCAAGAAGGGUUUCUCAUGAUGAUGAAAUGUUGAAGAAUUGAAGCAAAAUCCAGCCUUAAUUCUCUUGCAUGUGUAGAGAUUCUACAUCAAAAAGCUAUAUGAAACAUGUGGAACGUGUCAAGGAGAGCUCAAGCAUAGGAGGAUAACGGGUCAAGAUAAGGCAAGGUGACAAAUACACUUAUUGGAGUACUCAAGGUAAGUGAUUUCUAUAAUCACUUCUUUAGUUGUUUAAGUAAUAUAAUGUUUUAAUUAUUAAGUUCAUAUGAAGUUGAGGUCAAAUCAAUAGAUUAUUUUGAUAAAUGCACGAAUGGGUCGAAUAAUUCAUAGAUGAAUAACAAGCCGAAUACGUAUAAGUUAAGAAAUUCCUUAACUCGGAUGUUGG